UUUAAACAGUGUGUGCAACAUGCCGCUACUUCCCACUCCCCUUCAUGAGCAUCAAGCACCUGCAUUGAGUAAUGCAAGAGUGAGAUGAAACAUCUCAGUAAGCAAAUUGUUUUGACGAUAUAUUUAAACCACAAAUUGUAUUAAUCAACAUUUUAAAGGAAUCACAAUUAAGAUCAGAAAAUACGUGUAGAUAUAGAACCCAAUAGUCCUAAUAUAACCAAUACCAUCUCAUUUCUUCGAACAAGCACAAUAGGUUGUAUAACACUUCCCUGCGUCAACAAUACCUGUAAAUAUCACUUCAAUGUAUACAUAGGAAUGCAAUGUGUAGGUCCUCUGCCUUCAUACCUGUGAUAGUAUAAAACCACAGCCUCUGCAAAUAUCACUUCAAUGAAUGCAUAUGAAUGCAAUGCAUAUGUUCUCUGCCUUCAUACCUCUAAGGGUAUGAAGCCGCAUCGUACCCCUCCUCGGGCAACGUACGAUGCUAAGUUGUACCGGUACGGUCGGACCAUAGGUCACGACAAAAUUUCAGAUGCAAGUGAAUCAUGCAAUGUAUAUGGCAUGCUGCAUUUAUCAAUAUACAUCACUUCCUUCACAUACAAUACAAACCUCAAAUAAUACUUCGUUUACCUUCAGAUACAAUACAAACCUCAAAUAAUACUUCGUUUACCUUCAGGGGUGUGAAUUAAUCUCCUGGGUCAUACUCGAAUCAUAAUCAUCAUCAAUAUAUGGUUGAGCAUCAGUAUAAUACAAGCAAGUAAAGCAUCACCAUAGAGUUUAAUUAUGAAAGAACUCCAUAAUUCUGAAUAUUAGAGUGUAGGCGAUAAAAAACAACAAGUCAAAACGAUAGCAACCACCACUACAUUCACUUGCCUUCAUCGAAGAAGAAAAGUGUACUAGGAAUGAUCCAGAGUGUAGCCACCUGCAAGAGGAUAUAAAACCAAGUACAAAUAUUUCAGAAACAUUUGCCAACAAUCAACAAAUCGCUCCUAUACUUGAAACCAAGACCCGGUGAAAAGACUCCCACCCUGAACCACAUGCCAAACAGCAGCAGCGCUGUUUGUUAAUUUUGUAUCUUUAAAAUUAUAACAGUGGUGAUAUCAAACAAAUACUCUAGGAGUAUCUACACAAAGUACUCUACAACUUCGAUAUUCAAUGGAUAAUUAAAUUCUGCCAUCUAUAAGUUCUAAAACAUCUGACAAGAUAACUGACUGAAUCUGUUUCACACAGCAGCAUAGUUAACUUCAAAAUUCGAUAUCUCCAAAACUACUCAACCAAAAAUUAUGAAAUUCUGCUGGAAGUAAGAACUUUUAUCCCUCUACAUAAGUCGAUAUAGUUGGAACAGCCAAUUCGGCAAUUUACUAGAUGAAAUCCACCAGUGAAUAGACCCGCUCAUUUUUGUCAGGCAAACAGGAACAGCCACAGUAAAACAAACAUAACUGGAGUUUCAUAAUUCAUAUGAAUGCACUCUUUAACAAUCUGGAAAGCUUAUAAAAUUAUCUACAACUUAUUUUACCAAACGAAAGUUUAAUUCUGUUUAUAAAAUUGCCUAAAACUUAAGAGAACAGAUUCUGCACGGAAUUAUGAGACUGAAAAACUGCUAUAACUUUCUGAUCUGAUGUCCGAUUGAGGUGUUCUUCGCGGCCACGGAAAGAUCUACAAAUUGUCUACAACUCAUAGAUAGACUUUUUAUUUUUUUUGAGGCCACUAAGACCACGGAAAACUAUCAUGAACAGAAAUUGUCGAAUCUACCAUUCUGCAGAAACUAAAUUCGAGAUCAAAACCUAACCCCACAUCUAAUCCAACCUCUAAUCCUUUAAUCCGCAUGAUGCACGACCUCCAAAAGCAUAUAAUUACAGGGAGGAACAAGGAUCCCAUCCUUACCUUGGGUUUCUCCAAGAAAAUCUGCAAGAGAUGGGGUAGAACAUCUCCUUGAUCCUCUCUUCCUCUUCAAUUCAACGUGCUCCUCCUCUUCUCGAUCCUUGCUGCGUGGGGGAGAUCUAGAGGGAGGAGGAAGCCAUGGAGAGGGUAGGGGCAGCUGCCAAUGGGGAAGAGAGGAAGAGAGGGAGGGGGCCGGCGGCCAAAGGGGUGGAAAGGGUGGGGGGCGACUGCAACCAUUGGGGAGAAGGAGAGGGGGUCAGCUAGGGUUGGGGAGGAGAGGGGGGCUCCCAUCCAUCGGAUCGAGAUCAAUGGCCCAUACUCGCUCUCCCAUUUGAGCUCCCGACCCCAGCGGAAAAAAAGCCAAAAGAUCUUGUAACACCCCGGGUUCCACAAACAACCCAGAAUGCUACUGAACUACACUUCUGACGUCCAUAUAUAAAAUUUCGGCAGCAUCCCCUUUGCAAGAUUGCAUAAAUAAGGGGGCAACAGGGUAUGAACAUAUAUCAUGACAAAAACAUACUAAGUAUUAUUAAUCGGCUAGCAAGGGAAGAUAAACGUAUGACCUGAACUGAAUUAACCAGUACGCAUGACUAUAUAAAAAAACAACUUCCUUUGACAAUAAGUUUCUAAUUAAAUCAUGGCUGCGCCUGGGCAGCGUUAUUGUGAGAGUGUAAGUGGACGUGCUGCUACUCCCCUCAUUCCCAACAUGUAUCAAGUACCUGCAUUGAGUAAUGCAAGAGUGAGAUGACACAUCUCAGCAAGUAAAAUAAUAUCAAACUAUUCAACCACAUAAAAACAUUGUUUUACCACCACCUGAUUCCACAACCUUCUUAUUACCAAGGUGUAGCACGUAUACAACGUGCAACACACCUAGUUACCACACCUCGCAGGUAGAAACCACAAUAGUAACAUAGUAAUGUCACACUUCAUAUAUUCCUCAUGAAUGCAAAUGUCUGCAAAUGCAAGGAUGACUUCUGCCUUCAUACCUCUAAGGAUAUGAAGCCGCAUCGUACCCCUCCUCGGGCAACGUACGAUGCUAAAAAAAUGUACCGGUACGGUCGGACCAUAAGAUCACGACAUAACUUCAAAAUGCAAGAUGGAUGAUGCGAUGUGCAUGUCAUGCCUACAACACUUCAUAUAACGUGAUUCAAAAAGAUACUUCAACUUCAUCCAAGAUGGGAAUCAACCACAUAUAUCAUAACCAAAUUAUGAUCAUCCACAAUAUUAGACAAUUGAGAAUUAAUACUUCCAAACAAAUAAACUUCAUCAUAGAAUUCAAUGAUUAACAUAAUUAAAAACUUAUGCAUACUCAAUGACAGGGAAUAGGAUGCAAACCAAACGGUAGCAACCACCACUAUAUUUACUUGCCUUUACCGGAAGUUCGGGCAAAUCCCUAAGUACGAUCCGGAAGUCCACCACCUGUUUUUGACACACAACUUAGUGCACCUAUUUCACAUAAUCAGGCUCAUAAACGACGCCGCACCUACGCACAAACUCAAACCCCGCCGCGGGUUACAUCUCUCCCCACACCCACCAAACUGCAGCGACACUGCUUAAUAAUUUCAUAACUUUAAAAUUAUGACAACAGUGGUAACAAACAAAAACUCCAGAGGCAUCUACAUAAAAUUCCCCACAAGUUUUGUAUACAAUUUAUAAUUAAAGUCUAACAUCUAAUUAGCCCAAAACAGUCCACAAGAUGAACCCUGUAAUCUGUUUUUUUGUCUUUUGGACAGCGACAUACCCGGAUUCAAACAGCGAUAUCUUUUAAAAUAUAAUUCCAAAUCAAGCGCAUAAGUACUCAUUAGAAAGAUAAGACAAAGCCCUACAUGAUUAUCAUACUGGUUAACACUAAUUACCCACGAAAAAUUCACAGAAACUGCUAAUACUACUGCUGUUCACCCACCUGAAAAAUCUGUUUUUUUUGGACAGCAACAUAACCGGAUUCAAACAACGAUAUCUCCUAAAAUAUAACUCCGAAUCGAGCGCAUAAGUACUCGUUGGAAAGGUAUGACAAAGAUCUACAUGAUUCUCAUAUUGAUUAUCACUAAUUUUCCACGAAAAAUCCCCAGAAACUGCUAAUACUACUGCUGUUCAUCCACCUGAAAAUCUGUUUUUUUGGACAGCAACAUAACCGGAUUCAAACAACGAUAUCUCCUAAAUUAUAACUCCGAAUCGAGCGCAUAAGUACUCGUUGGAAAGGUAUGACAAAGCUCUACAUGAUUCUCAUAUUGAUUAUCACUAAUUUCCCACGAAAAAUCCCCAGAAACUGCUAAUACUACUGCUGUUCAUCCACCUGAAAAUCUGUUUUUUUGGACAGCAACAUAACCGGAUUCAAACAACGAUAUCUCCUAAAUUAUAACUCCGAAUCGAGCGCAUAAGUACUCGUUGGAAAGGUAUGACAAAGCUCUACAUGAUUCUCCCACUGAUCCCCACUAAUUGUCCACGAAAAAUUCCCAGAAAUCCCUAGAACUACUGCUGUUCGUCCUCCCACAAAAAAUCUGGACAGCACCUAUACCGAUUCGCAUAGGUAAACAUGUAAACAAUUGGAUUGCAGCACAAAUACUAAAAAGAAUGAUCUUAAAAUCACCUUGGGUUCCUCCUUUCCUCCUUCCAUUCUUCCUUCUUCCUCCCUCCAAACUCCAAUGGAAGACUCGCACCCACACGACGGGGUACCAAGCGGGGAGGAUGCACCAUGGAGAGGAGGAGGAGGGGGGGCGGCUAGGGUUGAGGGGUGGUGCUGCAAUCACUUGGGGGAGAAGGAGAGGGAGAG
RNAcentral lists this long non-coding RNA (4648 nucleotides) under Zea mays. RNAcentral describes it as "long non-coding RNA (ZMAY_LNC003517)". The record is from RNAcentral. Lineage: Eukaryota; Viridiplantae; Streptophyta; Magnoliopsida; Poales; Poaceae.